Argentina anserina (silverweed cinquefoil) is the source of this 394-nucleotide long non-coding RNA. RefSeq lists it as uncharacterized. NCBI's taxonomy places the organism in Eukaryota, Viridiplantae, Streptophyta, Magnoliopsida, Rosales, Rosaceae. The transcript has 3 exons. The record is from RefSeq and is a predicted model, not a curated record.
CUCUCUCUCUCUCUCUCUCUCUCCUACUUCAAUUAGUUUCAUCCUCAUGUGUGUUGGUCUCCCGACUCUGACCAUUCCUCCUCUUCUCCUCUCCCCCUCUCCCUCUAGUAAACCCGAAAACCCAAAAUCAUUGAAAGCCCAUUGAAGGAUUGAAACUUGUUUCAGUGUCAAUUGCAUAUAGAGCCCGCUGGUUGGAUGGUUUGUUUUUCCGAUUAGCUUCUUCAGGGGAUAGGUAGAGCUCUACAGGUUUGAAGGCUUCUCCUUGAUCAAAGAGGAGUUAGAGAUAAAGUAUGUAUGGAGAAAGGAAGGAUGAUUGAGCCUGGCUUUUAGCAGCCCCAUGAAUCGGAAUUUUUGGUGGAUGAGUACUGGAGUGAGUGGGCACUACUAAUGAAUG